This 454-nucleotide ribosomal RNA is filed under the name uncultured Alphaproteobacteria bacterium. RNAcentral describes it as "bacterial SSU rRNA". It matches the Rfam family "Bacterial small subunit ribosomal RNA", at positions 8 to 495 of the family's 1533-position model. Lineage: Bacteria; Pseudomonadati; Pseudomonadota; Alphaproteobacteria. The record is from RNAcentral.
AGAGUUUGAUCCUGGCUCAGAACGAACGCUUGGCGGCAGGCUUAACACAUGCAAGUCGAACGAGAAGCAGGAGCUUGCUCCUGUGGAAAGUGGCAGACGGGUGAGUAACGCGUGGCAACCUACCUUUUUCUACGGAACAACAGUUAGAAAUGACUGCUAAUACCGUAUAAGCCCUCCGGGGGAAAGAUUUAUCGGUGAAAGAUGGGGCCGCGUUAGAUUAGCUAGUUGGUGGGGUAAUGGCUCACCAAGGCGACGAUCUAUAGCUGGUCUGAGAGGAUGAUCAGCCACACUGGGACUGAGACACGGCCCAGACUCCUACGGGAGGCAGCAGUGGGGAAUAUUGGACAAUGGGCGAAAGCCUGAUCCAGCCAUGCCCCGUGGAUGAAAAAGGCCCUAGGGUUGUAAAGCCCUUUCGCUUAGGGAGAUAAUGACGGUUCCUAGACAAGAAGCCCCG